CAAAUACUCCCUCCGUCCAGAAAUACUUAUCAUCAAAAUGGAUAACAGGAAAUGUAUCUAGACAUAUUUUAGUUUUCGAUACAUCUCUUUUUAUCCAUUUUGAUGACAAGUAUUUUCGGACCGAGGGAGUAGAAA
Non-coding RNA from Triticum urartu, 135 nucleotides. Lineage: Eukaryota; Viridiplantae; Streptophyta; Magnoliopsida; Poales; Poaceae. The record is from Rfam.